This 492-nucleotide ribosomal RNA is filed under the name uncultured bacterium. RNAcentral describes it as "partial 16S ribosomal RNA". It matches the Rfam family "Bacterial small subunit ribosomal RNA", at positions 29 to 507 of the family's 1533-position model. The record is from RNAcentral.
AGUGAACGCUGGCGGUAGGCCUAACACAUGCAAGUCGAACGGCAGCACAGUAAGCGCUUGCUCUUACGGGUGGCGAGUGGCGGACGGGUGAGGAAUACAUCGGAAUCUACUUUUUCGUGGGGGAUAACGUAGGGAAACUUACGCUAAUACCGCAUACGACCUACGGGUGAAAGCAGGGGAUCUUCGGACCUUGCGCGAUUGAAUGAGCCGAUGUCGGAUUAGCUAGUUGGCGGGGUAAAGGCCCACCAAGGCGACGAUGCGUAGCUGGUCUGAGAGGAUGAUCAGCCACACUGGAACUGAGACACGGUCCAGACUCCUACGGGAGGCAGCAGUGGGGAAUAUUGGACAAUGGGCGCAAGCCUGAUCCAGCCAUACCGCGUGAGUGAAGAAGGCCUUCGGGUUGUAAAGCCCUUUUGUUGGGAAAGAAAAGCAGCAGGUUAAUACCCCGCUGUUCUGACGGUACCCAAAGAAUAAGCACCGGCUAACUUCGUG